CAGAAAAUAGUUUAUUAAAAUAAUAAUUUUGGAGAUUAUUGAUAGGAAAUUUUCCUUUUUCUGA
This 64-nucleotide transfer RNA is filed under the name Latridiidae sp. 1 KM-2017. Its description in RNAcentral is "tRNA-Pro". The record is from RNAcentral. Lineage: Eukaryota; Metazoa; Arthropoda; Insecta; Coleoptera; Latridiidae.